CCAUGACCACACAGGGGUCGCACUGUUGAUGCCUGAUUUGCUGAAAUCUCCCCACACAAGCCUUGUGCCGCCCCCCCCCCCCUCCCCCCUAGUCUGGGUCAGUGGCAUGAAACCUUUCCCCAUUCACCAGACUGCACCAUUUUCAAACGUGAAAAGAAAAUCGAGGAAUACAAGACCCUUGACCACCUCGCAUAUCAAGAGGCCAAGAAGAAAUGCAGUCACCUACUUUGUAUGAAAUCUCCUGCUGCUAUGAUGACAUUGCCUUCUUUAGUGCCUGUGCCCUCACCCUCUGUGUCAUCUACAUCAGGCCUCGGGGCCGUCCUACUGCUUAUCCCACACACACCUUUGGGAUCAUCGACUCCCUAUCCUCUGGAGAUGACGGUCCCCAGAGAAGCAACAUCCCACUCCAUUACCCCUUACCAGAGAAGCAACAUCCCACUCCAUUACCCCUUACCAGGAAGGGGUCCUUUGGGACACUCCCUUCCCAGAGCUCUACUACCUGGCAGCUGGAUGCCAACAGGUGGCUGUAGGAGCCAAAAGUUGCAGGUUGUAGGACUUUAUGUUCCUCCUUUGUCCCAGAAUAUGGGGCAGACAAGUCCUCGCAAAAGUCUAAAUCGUCUAAGGACAGAAAGUUGUCCUUCAAAAGCAGGGAGAUUCUGAUGGCUCCCAUGCCAUUACACUUCACAUGUUCCACCUCUGUAUCCAAGGCAUUAUUCCUGUUGGCACCUAUAGCUCCAGCACCCCCCCCCCCCCCUCCACACACACACAUGCCUUGAUUCGAAACAAAUGUGUAUUUAUUGAAUAUCUUCACAGUCAGUGGCAACAGGCAGCACUGAGGCACGACGUGCCUCCUCGGUCCCUUCACAACCCAAAAAUCCAUCGCAGGAGCAAUCCAUUGCCUUUAAAUGGCUCCAUGCUCAGGUCCACCACUUCAUAAAAUGACUGAAACAAGGUUGCUGGGAGCAGAGUGUGGAAACCAUUGGACCACAUAGCCCCCCUUCGCAGGUUUGUGUGAGGAUUUGAUGCCUUUAUGGAUACUAGUAGGCCAUGGGUGUACCUGGUAUCUCUAUGAACGAUGAUGUCUGCACUGAUCCAGACACUGUUGCCAAACAUUCUGCUUUUCACUAUGCAUGAGCCUCUGCACCUGAUAAUUAUCAGCCUGUAUUUUGUACCCUCGUCGUCUGCAGCGGGUAGAGCGACUUCCUACACCAUUUCCUGUAUGUCUUGUGGAACCUUAUAAUGCUCCAUUCAGUGAGUGGGAAUUCAUCAGUGCCCUAACCCUUUGCCCUGACAUGGGUCCAGGGCCAGACUGCAUCCACAGCCAAACAGUCAAACAAUCAUCAAUAAUGGAUUAACUUCUCAUGGUCAGGGUUCAUAGACAUGUAGAACUUUUUAAAGGAGAUUAUAUUUGCUGUUGACUGUAGAAAUUAUUUGUUUCACAAUUGCAAUUUUGGCUUUGGGCCAUUUGCAAUUGGGACUACAAAAGAUUUUGUGUACUGUAUUUCUACAAUGAAAAGGCAUGUUUUUGACGAUGUCAUGUAUAGAUGUCGGAGAAUUUGAAAGUCCAACAUGUGCUGAAGCAAAAUCUUUUGCAAUGCCAUUUGAAAAUGGCUCAAAACCCAAAAUUGCAACUGCAAAACAAAUAAUUUCUACAGUUAUCAGCAAAUAUGAUGUCCUUUAAAAAGUUCUACAUGAUUGUGAACCAUGACCACCUUAUUGGUGAGUUGCCAGCAUCACAUCCUUGCCUUUGCAACCAUAACAGGAUGAGUUCCCUAAUCAGUGGCCAGAAAGUGUGAUUGUAUCAUCCCCUUGAUAUGGACAGUUAUCGCCCAAUUAACAUCACCAAUGUUCUCAUGAAUGUUCUCUGCAAGUUGCUCGAUUGUAUGGUGAUGUGAUGACUGUGUUGGUACCUUGGGUCAGGGGUUUUCAGGUGCCAUCCGAGAGCAGUUUUUGCCAAGGCCAUUCUCCUGUUGACAGUUUGGUCUGCCUAGAGUCUGAUAUUCUGUCAGCUUAUGCCUGGUACUGACAUCUUAUUGUUGUCUUCCUUUGACUGACAUAGGACUUACAAGAUGACAUGUCAUCACCACAUCCCUUCUAUCCUCCAUGUGUGGGUCUCCAGGGCCAACUCCUGAUUUUUGUCUCAAACUUCUUGCCUUACUAUACUUUCUGGGUUCAAAAGUAUUCCCCAUAUACAAGAAAAUGGGCUCCCCAAGACUCUGUAUAGCGUGUGCCCCUGUUUAUAAUGGGUAUCAAUGGUCUAGCUGCAGCUGUGGGGUCUGCAGUGUCACCUUCCUCGUAUGCUGAUGACUUUUGCAUCCACUAUUGCUCCUGAACUGUAGGUGUUGUUGAAUGCCAACUGCAGGGUACUGUUCAAAGUGCGCAGUCCUCGGCUGUCACCCAUGGCUUCUGGUUUUCUGCGCGCAAAGAUGUGUCAUGCACUUCUGUUGCUGUUGUUCUGUCUAUCCCCAACCAGAAAUCUACUCCAAAGACCAAAUGCUCUGUGUGGUGUAGUCUUAUUAUUUUUUGGUACUGAUCAUCAAUGCCUGGUUAAUGUGUCUUCCUCAUCUUCCCCAACUUAAGCAAAUGUGCUGGUCACACCUUAACACUCAUCGCUGUCUCGGUUACACCAACUGCGGUGAAGACUGUUCUGCACUUUUGUGCUCUAAAAGGCUCUGAUUCUUUCACAUCCUGAUUAUGGAAGCCUGGCAUCAUCUUCAGCAUUUCAGACACUGGCUGGAGCCGAUAUAUCAUUAUGGUUUCCAAUUUGCAAGAGGUACCUUUUGGACUAGCCCUGUGAACAGCCUGGUCACAGAGCUGUCGUCUAUACGAUAUACAUCGGUCGUUACCAGCUACUGCUCAAGUGAGCAUCUGAACUACUGUGUACUUUUUCCUGUUAGGGAGAUUGACCUCCCAUAACAGAGGUCAGAGUUUGGCAUCAUGAUUGCAGUUCGCAUACAAAAUCUCUGCUUUGAGCUCCUUCUUUCUCCACUGUUGCUUCGUGUCAGGGAGCAAUCACAUGCACUCCCAGGGUGUGUAACCCAUUCUCAGAUCUGCCUUGGCCUCCCCUGUGGACUAAAAGAUUGUAUAGACCCUGUCGUUUCUCAUAACCUGUUCCUGGAUGUCCUCAGUGCAUUUCCAGGCUCAGACAAGGUGUAUGCUAAUGGUUCUAAAGUCAGUGGGUGAACCAGUUUUGACUACACUUAUGCAAGAUGCAGUGAACUACACCUGAUGCUGAGUGGAUGCAGUGUACUGACUGUGGAAUUGGUAACCAUUGCGUGAGGCCUGAACCACAUUCAUUCUUGCACUGGCAAGCCAUUCUUAAUCAGCAGUGGCUCCGUGAGUAGUCUUCAGGCUGUCGACCAGUGCUACCCUCAACACUCAUUGGUUUUGAUUAUCCAGGAUCUCCUGUAUAAUCUCCACCAUGCUGGGUGAUCAGACAUCUUUGUAUGGGCCCCUGGUCACAUUGGGAUCCUUGGGAAUGAACAUGCUGACUGGAUGGCUAAAUUGGAGGUGUGGGUAGCAGAACCAGACCUUCGGUUGACUCCAUGCUGACAGUUGUUGGAGACUAGGAAUCAAUUGUCACAUCAUUGGUACAAAGUCAACUGCAGUAUCUUCCCUAACUUUAAGCCUUCUUCUUUUCUGUUAAAAUUAUUGUGAUGUUUAUAAAUCUCUAUGGCUUUUCUGUAUGUAUAUGUAUAAUAAUGCUAUGUCAUAACUAGCAUGCUUUUCUCACUAAAUUUUAAAUCAUGAUCACCAUCUUCAAAAACAUGUUCUGCUACAGCUACAGAUGACAGUUUCGUUUUUGUUCGGUUAGGUGGAUAUUAACACUUUUUUUCAUUGUUCCAAUAUAAACCUCAGUAGGGGAUCCAAUAGUACUCACUAUCGGUCUCAGUGGGACAGCAGGCGUAUGCACCUUAGGUAGCCCGUAAAAUCUAGGAGGGUAAGCUUCCUGCCCCCCCUCCCCCCCCCCCCCCUUCUUUUUUUCUUGCAAGGGUACUUUUUAUCAUCUGUAGGAAUGGAAUACUUUUUUUAUUAAAUUAUUGGUAGCUGUUAACACUUUUGUUGUAGGACCCUUUUUCAAUUUUUUAUAAGUGGUAGGCUCCAAAACAUCACUGAUCUUCGUAUGGUUACCUUCACUCUUCAAGUGCUUAUGGAGUGCUAUUGGAUCCACUCCUCAAGAGUGGGCUAGACAUCUCACCUUCUUUUUACAACUGUGUAUUGGAAAAACUAACCAUCCUAUUAAGAAGUCUAUGCACUUUAUUGAAAAAUUGAAGGAGAUUACUGUCAGCCCAAGUAAUGUUCUUGUCAGUUUUGAUUUGGUAUCCCUGUUCACCAUGGUUCUAAUUAACGAAGCUCUUUCUUACAUGGCUGAUAAGUUUCCCAAUGGUACAGUAUCUUUGUUUUGACAUUCCCUACCCAUGAUUAUUUUCAGUAUAACUAUGAGUUCUGUGAGCAGAUGGAAGGAGUGACAAUGGAAAGCCCUCUAAGUCCAGUUGCUAAUCUUUUUAUGGAAUUUUUGAAUAGCAGGUGCUGCAGUCAGCCAAUAAAAGUCCUCUGAAGUGGUAUUGAUGUUGUGGAUGAUGCUUUUGUGAUAUCACAAUGAAGAUGAAUUGAAUGGUUUCUUGGUGCAUUUACAUAGUGUUAAUCCAAGAUACAAUUUACUAGGGGGUCAGAGAGCAAUGGACAGCUUAAUUUUUUGAAUGUUUCAGUAAUUAAAAGGGCAGAUUGGGCCUUAGGUCAUAAAGUAUAUAGGAAAGAUACACAUACCGACCAUUACCUCCAUAACGAUUUGAACCAUCAUCCCAGGCAGAAGAGAGGUGUUAUUAAAACUUUGAUGGACAGGGCUAAUGAAAUCUGUGAGCCAGUUUAUUUGCAAGAGAAACUAGAUCAUUUGCAAACAGCUUGUAAGAAAAAUGGAUACACUGAUAAUGAGAUAGGCUGAGCACUCCAUCCCAGAGGAAGAGUGUCCAAAAACAUCCAACAACAACAACAGCAACCAUUGACUGUGAAAAUUUUUCUUCCAUUUAUCCACAAUAUUAUGGACUGUAUUGGGAAAGUUAUGGCCCAAGUUUUCCAAGUUGAAACACUCUGUAGACACACUAAGAAGGUUUAUAAACACCACAAUAAUUUUAACAGAAAAGAAGAAGCCUUAAAGUUAGAUAAGAUAUGGCUGCCAACUUUGACUGUCAGAGAUAGCUUCACUGGUGACAGCAUGUGACAAGUGAUGGCACCCUCUAUGCACUCUACGUAAAUGGGACUUCCACAGUCUAGGAGCCAGUUGUUGACUCACCUUGGAAGAUGUUGCCUGCAGCUAGCAACGAAACAUCAGGAAGAAUUUCUACUGUUCGACCAUGGCCUCUUAGCCCACAAGUUCCAAUUAAUUAGGGAAUCUACUGUCCUGGCCAUCUUUUGGUGAAACUUUAAAUAUAUUGAUGCAAUAACGCUGGCACUAGCAGACAACACCAGAGCAGUUGAUUUGGUUUAAUUUUUUAUUUGUUAGUUUAGUUUUUCGUCCUCUCUGUGUCAUACAGCACAUUAGCCUCGUGGGCUGCGAGAGGGAUUGGAAGGGUGCCCCCAUCACCUGCUCCGCACCAAGGGUCCCAUGGCUGCCCUUGCUCAGUGGUCCAUCCUAGCUCAUGGCCUUUUCACCUUUUUAAAUCAUGUUAUUCUUUCACAUCUAUUGUUGGUUGACAGACUUGACGUAAUUGUUCUCUUUCCUGAGAUUUUAUCUUGUCCAUUUUACUUGUGGUUUACCCCUCUCUCACUUCAACUUGUUUCUGACUCUUGAUUCUCAGAUACAGUCAAGCCCAUUGUGAUUUGUCUUUUGUGUCCUUCCUCUCUGAUUCCCAGAUUGUCACACAAAGGAUUAAGGGAGUGGUGACCUCAUGGUUUGGUUCCUUUAACCCCACCCACCCAUCCACCCAUCCAUCCAUCCAUCCAUCCAUCCAUCAACCUUAACACUAUUUGCUGUAAGUAGCAGCCUUAAAUUAAAGAUAUAGUGAAGUUAUAUGAAGUUAUCGUUGAGAUACCACAAAUGAAGAUCGUGUGAAUAUGAGUUCACAGUUCACUGGUACAUGACUGCUUGGUGAUGAAACAUGUUUCUUACACAUUACGUUGGCAGCAAGUAUGACAAACAUUCGUCAAGAUCUGCAUGUUGGUUCCUGUCAAGCUGGAUGUUUUGAGGGCACAUAGUGUACCAGUAUCAUUUUAGCUCCUAUCGAUUCCAUCCUCAUAAUGUGUGCAGGAAGAAUGAUUUUUGUCUUCUUCUGUAUACGUACAAAUUUUCCUGGUAUUACCGUCAUGGAUAUUAUCUGAACUGUAUGUGGAAGAAGGUAGUUUGGCAUAUUCAAUUAUUUUGUGUUGUUUUCCAAAUAUCACAGACUGUUGUUUCACCAACAUUGUAAAUCAGUGCCAGAUUCUACUUAUCGGUGUUGCCUUCUUCAAGUUUCUGUAUUAUUUACAGUUUCUGCUGUAUCAUGAUAACAACACGUUUUUGCUUUUAAGACUUUGUGUAGCAAUAACAGAAACCAGAUGACUACAGUAUCCACCGCAACAGUACAGUCCAGCACUUGAGGUGUUUGGACAACACAUUGUUUACUACACUCAUGUUGUAACAUGACAUUAUCCUUCCAGGUAGAAGAAAAAUUUACAGCAUCCAGCAGCUAAAAAAAAGGAAGGAAGAAAGUUGGGAGAAAUAGGCCACAUAUAAUCUGCUCGCAGAUAAUAGCCAGAUGCUAACUGUUCCACACAUACAAAGCUGGGCUGCUCCAGACAGCAACUGGAAUCAGCAGUAUUCAUGCCCUAAUUGCUUCAAAGUAUAUCGCUGGAUGAUCUCAUUGCGCAGGCAUAUGAGAUUAGAAUGUGGAAAAGAGGGAAACCUUUGUUGCUCCAUCUGCAGUCGUCGCUUCAAGCAUAAGCAUCACCUUGUUAAUCACUUAGGUGUUCACAGACGCAGGGAUUACAUGGCCAGUGGAAGCAGCUAACUGGUCUGAAAAUUGUGUGGAGGACUCUAAUGAAAGAAUUGGUUUAGAGGCAAGAUUUGUGUGCAAUAACUGCGGAAAAUAUUAUCACCUGAAUACUUCUCUCCAACGCCAUCUUCGCGUAGAAUGUGGACAAGAAGGAAGACAUGCAUGUUUCUCAUGUGGUCGCAAAUUUAAGCAUAGGUUUACUCUCGCAACACAUGUAAGAAGAAACAUCUGUGACAGAUUCAGGAACUUACAGUGAAAUAAGAGCAAUUUUUACUGUAAAAGGAUUUUAGUCUGAUUGCAAGCAUUUCAAUAAAUCAAUAUCGCAUAUGAGGCA
Schistocerca gregaria is the source of this 7302-nucleotide long non-coding RNA. RefSeq lists it as uncharacterized. Lineage: Eukaryota; Metazoa; Arthropoda; Insecta; Orthoptera; Acrididae. The record is from RefSeq and is a predicted model, not a curated record. The transcript has 3 exons.